UCUUGGAAUAGUGUGCUUUAAUCAGUAACACAUUGCUUCUUUUCCUUCCUGGACAAAAUUAAGAGCAGAGAUUCCCCAGCCAGCAUGGAGAAGGAGAACUGGACCAUGGUGAGGGAGAGCCUUCUGACAGGGAGGCAGCCACCAGAGCCCUUUGGGGCCUCCUUGUCUUGAUUUUGUAUUGUCCUAUGUGAUGACUGUCCUUGAAAGUGCCCUCAUCUUUACCAGGAUUCUUGUGGAUUAUAGGCUUCACUCACCCAUAUAUUUCUUCCUUAGCCAGCUGUCCUGUCUUUCAUUGAAAUGUUAACCACGACCUGUGCUAUUCCCAAGAUGCUGACAGGCUUCCUCUCAGAGAGGAAGAGCAUCUCAUUUGGUGAAUGCUUCGUGCAAGUCAUUUUUCUACUUCCUCUUUCGAUGCACUGAGUUUGUCCUUUUUUCUGUGAGGUUCUAUGACUGCUAUGUGGCCAUUUGCAGCCUCCUUUAGUACCGGGUGAUUAUGACCAGCUUGUUUAGUGUCUAUCUUGUCAUCCUCUCCUGGAUGGAUGACUUUUUCUUCAUCCUCCCAUCUACUGUCCUUAAGGCAGGACUGCCAUACUGUGGCCCCAGUGUGAUUGAUUAUUUUUUCUGUAACAGUACCCACUUGCUCCUCUAGGCCUGUGCUGAAAUCCCUGUCAUCGAGCUGUUGGACUUCCUCAGCUCCUUUGUCCUACUCAUCAGCUUCUUUACCUCACAGUGGUCUCCUUUGUUUACAUCAUCUCUACCAUUGUGAAGAUACCCUCAGGCCAAGGUCAACAUAAAGCCUUUGGCACCUGUGCCUCUCACUUCCCUGUGGUCUCCAUGGGCUAUGGGAUCUCCAUCCUUGUCUAUGUCUGGCCCUCACAGAAGUGCAGCCUGCAUCUUAACAAGAUCCUUUUAUCCUCUCCAGUGUCAUCACAUCACUCCUGAAUUCCUUCAUCUUCAGUCUACAGAAUGAAUCCAUGAAAGACGGAUUGAAAGUCAUCUUGGCUAAGGGCCAGAACUUCCUCAGGGGAAUGAGAUCCAAGUGAUAGUGUAUUUGAAUGAUCCCAAACCUGGGCAUUCCUAGCCUUACAGAGAGUUUUAUGCUCCGUUUGUUUGCUGUAGCUGCUUCAUUGUACUCCAGAGCUCUCCCAGAGAUAUUUUUGUUGCAUACUGGAACAGAAAGAGAGAGAGCAAGAGAGAAGUUGCAAACAAACACCCUGAAGAACUGAAAACACAGCAACUAUGGGUGGACGAGUUGAGCCUAGAGCUGCUGGAUGAACACGUUCAUACCAUCAUCCCAGGAUAUCCCCAUUCCCACCCCCUACCCUUGUCUAUGUCAUGUUCUGAGGAACCAUCCCAACCCUUUUUGCAUAAACAGGGCUCCAGCAGGGACCCAGUGCUCUGGCCAUCACCUGC
Molecule: long non-coding RNA, 1413 nt
Organism: Equus asinus (donkey)
Lineage: Eukaryota; Metazoa; Chordata; Mammalia; Perissodactyla; Equidae
Source: Ensembl